Molecule: long non-coding RNA, 1208 nt
Organism: Bos taurus (domestic cattle)
Lineage: Eukaryota; Metazoa; Chordata; Mammalia; Artiodactyla; Bovidae
Source: Ensembl
GCUAAAGGUAACCGUGCAGUUUUCUGGAGUCAAGAACAACUCCGGCCAGUCGGGGUUUUGUUGGGCAGCUCUUGCUUUAGCAGCAGCAUCUGCAAUGUCUUGAGUUUAGGAGCGGUCCCUGACCACAGCCUCUUGUACCUUCUCCUAGCCAGGGCAGUGGAGAGCUGCCAAGGGAAGGGAUUUUUGAAUCAUGAAUGCCUUCUGCUAACUGUGGCUUAGUCUGAGGCUCAGGAGGGGAAAUGCCAGGAUCUGCACGGGUGGUUUUGUGCUGGUGUCCCUUUCUCCACCCAGCACCUAGAUGCAGUAUUCCCUCGGCUUGGGGGUUGCCAACCAGAGGUGGAGAAAUAGACCCAGGGUCUUGAUAUGAUAGAGAGAAGGUUGAGUUUGCUCCAGAGAAACUGUCGCUCUGGGCAUCAGGGCAGAGUUUGUGAUGGACAAACUACGGGAUCUUCAGAUGUGUGUCAGACCCUGUUGUGUGAUAACAAUAGCAUUCUCUUUCCAGGCUGGAGGAAGAUUCACAGAACGUGAGUAGGAAGACCCAGAGGCCUUCCUGGGGUAGCAGUUGGGAAAAGGUGUGGAGAGAAAUGUUCUCAGUCCUCUUGGGAGGGAGUGUCCUACCAUGAUGUCAGCCACUUCUCUUCCUGGUUGGUUUGAUUCAUGGUCUCCAGCAUCUGCACAGGACCAGAUGUCUGGUGGGGCCCUCUUCAGCUGUGAAAUACACAGCCGAGGUUCCACACCUUGUAACUUGGCAGUGGUGUUAGUGGUCACGAGUCUUUUGUAGGGUGCUUUCCAUAAAUCUCUUUCCCAAAGCAUACGUGUAAAACAGUAACUGUCUGUAAAGGACAAAAGACUUAAAAAUGCCUGUGAUUAAAGAGCUGAUGAGGUUUCAUCUGAUAAGGAAAUGCAGUUAUUUCUGUGGCAUACAAUACUCUCACUGUCCAAUGAUUAUCUUAAAGUAUUGAAACAUUUCUAGAAACUUCAAUUUCUGGAAUAUAUAUUAGGAACAUAUGUCCAUACAAAUAUAACCUAAGAAGGUUUAUCAUUAUCAUUUCUUAUUUGACAGUUCUUCCCACGUAUUGUAUCAACUAAACCUAAGUAUUUAACAUCUCAUUUACAAGAUGCGAGGCAAAUCUUUUGAUUUCCCAGAGGGCUCCUGGAAAACCUGAGUUUACUUUGAGCAGAUCUUCUCGAACCGGCGUCUCCUGCAU